Corapipo altera (White-ruffed manakin) is the source of this 3054-nucleotide long non-coding RNA. RefSeq lists it as uncharacterized. The transcript is spliced from 3 exons. NCBI's taxonomy places the organism in Eukaryota, Metazoa, Chordata, Aves, Passeriformes, Pipridae. The record is from RefSeq and is a predicted model, not a curated record.
AGGCUGUCCUCUUUAACAUUCAGAUGGAAGUAUGUUCACUCAGAGGGCAAGAGUACAACCAAGAUGUGGUGACUUUACUGUGAAUUGUACAAGUAGUGCUCAGCAAAACAGUAGGUGCACCUUUGGCUCUUCAGUGCUGCACUGGUCAUCAAGGAGGAUCCCCUGUUCCAUGAGAGCACGGUGCUCUCAGAGACUGAGGAAUGACUGAGGAAUGGAACCAAGUUUCUCCAGAGGCAGAGACAUUCAGGACACGGGAAGGGAAGAGCAAAAGCACCACAUAACACUUGUGCAGUGGGGAAGAGGGCUGCUGUGCCCCUAAGUCUGGAUGGGCUUUGCAUCUCAGAUCAUCCAUAGAAAGGUAUUUGGGGAAAAGACAAAGGUGGUGGCACAGGAAGCAGCUCUCAAGGAGAGGAUGGGACUAACGAAAUAAUCACUGCAGGAUAAAGGGUUCCUGGUUUGCAUCAGAGCUGCUGGAAUAAUCAGAGUUCUGAAAUCAUUAUCACUGAAGAUUUUGUCCAAGUCUGUUUUCAGUUCUGUUGUCUUCAAAGCUGGAAAGAAGAGGAGAGGCUGGUCAGGGCCAGCACAGCCUGUGUGUGUCCUUGGGGCCCUGAGAGGAGUGUGAGGAGUACAGAGCACUUCUGGCAAUGCCCUCAAAGAAAACCUGUAGAGAAGAAUAAAGAACCCCCACAUAAGUGGCUGGGAGCUCAGGGAGUCUGGAAAGGUAAAGUGUAUGUGGCAAACCCCUUUGUAGCACAUUUUGGAGAGGCACAGUCAGGAAAGACAGAGUUUCUGCUUGUUAGACAUGUAAACAGUCUGUCUGGGGGCAAGCUGCUGCUUCUGGAAACACUGGGCUCCGUUACAGAGGCCCAGGGCUUGUCUCAUCACCCCGAGGUGACUCAUUGCAGGGUUCAGCUCCGAGAGGAGGAGAGGGGGACCCUGAAUCCCAAGUGAUUCUGAGUUCCCUUUGUCACAGUUAUUCCUAUUGCUUAUUACACUGCUCUGUAGGGUGGGAAAACACUUCAGAACAGCUAGGCAAAGGAUGAAGCAUCUCUUCCAUACUGAAGGCCAAAUAGGUCUUUGAUGACCCAUAAUAACAAAAUUCUUACUGUCAUUCAGUAACAAGAUGGAAAAAACUCAUGUGUUUAGCUUUAUGCUGAAGUUGCACAUCUGGCUCCAUAGUUCGGGCUCCUCUCUGAUCCUCGUUUUCCCUCUGUGUUCAGGAACAGUGAAGUGACCAGUGUCAGGCAAGGACAUGUGACAGUGCAGAACUUAUCCCUGCUGAACAGCAUUGGGACAGGGAAUUCAUUGACUGGACAUAGGAAAACUGGACAAAACUAUUGCAAAGUUCAUGGUCUUUACAUGUAUUAAUUCAAUGCACUGACACAGACAUUUUGCACAUCCUGCUCACAUGGUUUGCAUUAAAAAGCAUUAUGAAAUCCCAAAGUCUAGUGCCAGAUGGUUUUGGGUUUCUUUGCUUGUAUAAAAGGUUUAAUUUAGGUGCAUGGAAAAUGUAAAAUACUCUGGUAAUGGCUUUAGCAGGACACCCAGCCUGCAUUUGCUUUAUUCAUCACCCUGCUGGCUCCUUCUGCACGUUAUAUUCGAGUCAUGAUAAAACUUCAAAACAUGAAGUCAAAUUUACUGACUUCCCAGAACAGACUAUGCUCUGUAAAAUGCUUAAAGGGACUGACGUGAAAGGAAAUAUUCCUAAAGACCCUCUGUGCUGAGAAACCACACGGUGAACAAAAAUAACCCUCUCUUUCCAAAUGCAUGGCUCCCAGGAAUGCCUGAGCCUGGUCCUGAGUGCAGAGGGAAGGGGGCAAUGGGGAAAGGUCAGCCAUACAGCUGUUGCUCCUGCCAGCAGCUUUCUGCCUGCUUUACUUGACGAGCUGAAUGAGUCUUUUAGCUCCUAUUAACAGGGAUCACAUUUUUCAGCUGAUCUUUUCUUGGUGGAACAGAUGAGCACCAGGAGUAUAAAUACGGAGUUAACUUGAAAUCUGAGCUGUUGGAAUUCACACAUCCCGUUCUCCAGGGCAGGAACAGGGUGAAGGGGCCCUGGCACUCUCCGGGUGUCCUCCUGCAGGGCCACUGUCCCAGCACGUACUGGGGCUCUGCCUCCUCACUAUUCACAUAUAGAAUUACUGCCCUCAGCCAGUCACACUCCAAAUGCAAGUGCAAAAUGUUGACCUGGUUAAUCCAGUAGCUUUCUAGGAGAUAAUAAUGAAAAUAAGCUGGAUUGUGUUUUAGAACAUUCUGAAGUUACUUCUUUAACUGGAUGUGAUUUUAGUUUUUUUAAACUUAGUCUAGAUGGGGAAGCCAGUGACCAGUUAGAGACAGUUUUUACCUCAGUAUCCUCUUUUCUACUGCUUCCGAAAUAAAUUGCUUAUUUUCAGGGGCACCACAAAAGUAAGGGCAUGACAUAUGAACAGUGGUCUUGUUCUCAGAGAUGUAACGGAGGGAAGGCUGGUUUGUACAGAGGGAAUCCCCUGGCUCUGCUUACCACCUUUUAUCAGUUUUCACUCACCCUUUUUCCAGCAGUACGUUUCCCCCUGAUUUUCUGUGUAAAACCCAGAGAGAUGUCAAAUAGAAAAACAACCCAGGGGUUUCAGAUUUGAUUUUGACAAGUUUAGUAUUACCAAAGAGUCUGUGUUUCCACUUGUACUGCAAUACAUACAAAAUUGCUGACUUGCAUUACAUUUGAUCAGUCUCCAAGUACUUUGCAAUAAUUAUUUGGAAGUAAUUUUUCUAUCAAGUUUUUCUCUAAAAAGCAAGUGAAACAAAGCAAAAUUUAGGAGAGCUGCAGGCUGCCAUGAAACCUUGUGAAAUGCACACAGCAGAGUGGACAACUCCAGGAGUACAGAGGCCUCCUGGUCUGUACUGCACAGUCCCAGGUAACUCUCCUCAGCUGUCCCACCUCCCCAGUGCCACUGGAAGCAGCUGCUGCUGUCAGCUGAGCCUGCACUCAGGAUUUUUUAGAGAGGUGGAGCUGGGGAGGAGCAAGAACAAUAUAACAAGUGUGUCAGGCGGUCCCGAGGUGCGGUGGUGCCGAGGUCAGGA